Molecule: ribosomal RNA, 497 nt
Filed under: uncultured bacterium
Lineage: Bacteria
Description: partial 16S ribosomal RNA
Rfam family: Bacterial small subunit ribosomal RNA
Source: RNAcentral
GACGAACGCUGGCGGCGUGCCUAAUACAUGCAAGUUGAGCGAUGAAGCUUGGUGCUUGCACCAAUUUGAAGAGCAGCGAACGGGUGAGUAACGCGUGGGGAAUCUGCCUUUGAGCGGGGGACAACAUUUGGAAACGAAUGCUAAUACCGCAUAACAACUUUAAACAUAAGUUUUAAGUUUGAAAGAUGCAAUUGCAUCACUCAAAGAUGAUCCCGCGUUGUAUUAGCUAGUUGGUGAGGUAAAGGCUCACCAAGGCGAUGAUACAUAGCCGACCUGAGAGGGUGAUCGGCCACAUUGGGACUGAGACACGGCCCAAACUCCUACGGGAGGCAGCAGUAGGGAAUCUUUGGCAAUGGACGAAAGUCUGACCGAGCAACGCCGCGUGAGUGAAGAAGGGUUUCGGAUCGUAAAACUCUGUUGGUAGAGAAGAACGUUGGUGAGAGUGGAAAGCUCAUCAAGUGACGGUAACUACCCAGAAAGGGACGGCUAACUACGUG